This 329-nucleotide unclassified non-coding RNA is filed under the name soil metagenome. RNAcentral's name for it is "partial contains 5.8S ribosomal RNA, internal transcribed spacer 2, and large subunit ribosomal RNA". The stretch from base 1 to 120 matches the Rfam family "5.8S ribosomal RNA", at positions 35 to 154 of the family's 154-position model. The record is from RNAcentral.
GAUGAAGAACGUAGCGAAAUGCGAUAAGUAAUGUGAAUUGCAGAAUUCAGUGAAUCAUCGAAUCUUUGAACGCACAUUGCGCCCCUUGGUAUUCCGAGGGGCAUGCCUGUUCGAGCGUCAUUAUAACCCCUCAAGCUCAGCUUGGUGUUGGGGCCUGCUGCACUGGCAGCCCUUAAAAUCAGUGGCGGCGCCAUCUGGCUCUAAGCGUAGUAAUUCUUGUCGCUAUGGAGUCCUGGUGGAUGCUUGCCAUCAACCCCCAAUUUUUCUAUGGUUGACCUCGGAUCAGGUAGGGAUACCCGCUGAACUUAAGCAUAUCAAUAAGCGGAGGA